Populus nigra (black poplar) is the source of this 448-nucleotide long non-coding RNA. RefSeq lists it as uncharacterized. The transcript has 3 exons. The record is from RefSeq and is a predicted model, not a curated record. NCBI's taxonomy places the organism in Eukaryota, Viridiplantae, Streptophyta, Magnoliopsida, Malpighiales, Salicaceae.
UUUUUUUUCUUUUUUUUUUCUCUGUGAGAUGCAAUCCCUCACUGUCACCCCUUCAGCUUCAUCCUCAUCAAAUCCCACUACACCCCAAUUGUUAAGUUUAGAGGAAAGGUUUCAAUUUGUAAGAAGCGUUGGUGAAGAAUGUAUUCAAGAAGAUGAACUACGUAAUCUUCUUGAGAAAAAAACCACUACCCAUUUGCUAUGAUGAUGGUUUUGAACCUUCUGGGAGAAUGCACAUUGCUCAUGAGUUUAUUUCCUCUGGUUUGAAAGGAACAACAGAAUUUUCAGCAGCAUCUCCCACCCUCACCAGGAAGAAGUAAGUGCAGACAUUAUUCAUCUCAUUCGGGCUUCACUUGAACAACAUCAACAAGCGCACUAUCCCAGACUCCAUUCGCCAGAUAUGGAACACACAGGAGCAGUAAUCUUCUCGCCUCCAAGGCCUCUCUCUUAG